RNAcentral lists this ribosomal RNA (488 nucleotides) under Escherichia coli. RNAcentral describes it as "partial 23S ribosomal RNA". It matches the Rfam family "Bacterial large subunit ribosomal RNA", at positions 1245 to 1735 of the family's 2925-position model. The record is from RNAcentral. Lineage: Bacteria; Pseudomonadati; Pseudomonadota; Gammaproteobacteria; Enterobacterales; Enterobacteriaceae.
AGCCUGUGAAGGUGUGCUGUGAGGCAUGCUGGAGGUAUCAGAAGUGCGAAUGCUGACAUAAGUAACGAUAAAGCGGGUGAAAAGCCCGCUCGCCGGAAGACCAAGGGUUCCUGUCCAACGUUAAUCGGGGCAGGGUGAGUCGACCCCUAAGGCGAGGCCGAAAGGCGUAGUCGAUGGGAAACAGGUUAAUAUUCCUGUACUUGGUGUUACUGCGAAGGGGGGACGGAGAAGGCUAUGUUGGCCGGGCGACGGUUGUCCCGGUUUAAGCGUGUAGGCUGGUUUUCCAGGCAAAUCCGGAAAAUCAAGGCUGAGGCGUGAUGACGAGGCACUACGGUGCUGAAGCAACAAAUGCCCUGCUUCCAGGAAAAGCCUCUAAGCAUCAGGUAACAUCAAAUCGUACCCCAAACCGACACAGGUGGUCAGGUAGAGAAUACCAAGGCGCUUGAGAGAACUCGGGUGAAGGAACUAGGCAAAAUGGUGCCGUAACU